AUUGAACGCUGGCGGCAUGCCUUACACAUGCAAGUCGAACGGUAACAGGUCUUCGGAUGCUGACGAGUGGCGAACGGGUGAGUAAUACAUCGGAACGUGCCCGAUCGUGGGGGAUAACGAAGCGAAAGCUUUGCUAAUACCGCAUACGAUCUACGGAUGAAAGCAGGGGACCGCAAGGCCUUGCGCGAACGGAGCGGCCGAUGGCAGAUUAGGUAGUUGGUGGGAUAAAAGCUUACCAAGCCGACGAUCUGUAGCUGGUCUGAGAGGACGACCAGCCACACUGGGACUGAGACACGGCCCAGACUCCUACGGGAGGCAGCAGUGGGGAAUUUUGGACAAUGGGCGAAAGCCUGAUCCAGUCAUGCCGCGUGCAGGAUGAAGGCCUUCGGGUUGUAAACUGCUUUUGUACGGAACGAAAAGACUCUGGUUAAUACCUGGGGUGCAUGACGGUACCGUAAGAAUAAGCACCGGCUAACUACGUG
Molecule: ribosomal RNA, 482 nt
Filed under: uncultured bacterium
Lineage: Bacteria
Description: partial 16S ribosomal RNA
Rfam family: Bacterial small subunit ribosomal RNA
Source: RNAcentral